Molecule: ribosomal RNA, 408 nt
Filed under: uncultured bacterium
Lineage: Bacteria
Description: bacterial SSU rRNA
Rfam family: Bacterial small subunit ribosomal RNA
Source: RNAcentral
UGGGGAAUAUUGCACAAUGGGCGCAAGCCUGAUGCAGCAACGCCGCGUGCGGGAUGACGGCCUUCGGGUUGUAAACCGCUUUCAGUUCCGACGAAGCGCAAGUGACGGUAGGAACAGAAGAAGGACCGGCCAACUACGUGCCAGCAGCCGCGGUGAUACGUAGGGUCCGAGCGUUGUCCGGAAUUAUUGGGCGUAAAGGGCUUGUAGGCGGUUUGUCACGUCGGAAGUGAAAACUCAGGGCUUAACCCUGAGCCUGCUUCCGAUACGGGCAAACUAGAGGAAUGCAGGGGAGAAUGGAAUUCCUGGUGGAGCGGUGGAAUGCGCAGAUAUCAGGAGGAACACCGGUGGCGAAGGCGGUUCUCUGGGCAUUUCCUGACGCUGAGAAGCGAAAGCGUGGGGAGCAAACAG